RNAcentral lists this long non-coding RNA (995 nucleotides) under Homo sapiens (human). RNAcentral describes it as "cholesterol induced regulator of metabolism RNA". Lineage: Eukaryota; Metazoa; Chordata; Mammalia; Primates; Hominidae. The record is from RNAcentral.
CUCUCCUCCGCGCCGCCGUCUUCGUUGCUCUUGGGUGGCCGCGGCGCCCGCUCCCUCUGAAUUCGCCGGGCAGGGAUACAGCCGCCCGGGGCCUCUUGCUCGUGCUUGGUUUUCCGGACCUUGCUUCCUAAAGGGUCUUUAGGGGUUCCCGGACUCCUCCGCCUGGGAGCCUCUAUCCGCCUGGGAGCCUCUAUGCGCCCCGCAAAGCCCCCGGCAGAGCCGAGGGGAGGCUUCAUUGGCGACCUGGUGGGGCCUCGCGGCCCUGCUCCCUGACGUCAGCGCCGCCGCGGUGAUUUAACAGCUUUUGUUUUGGGCAGAAGAACCUAUGGGCACAAAAAGCAGGAACGAGUAGCGGUGGCUGAAGAACGAGCAGGAGCUUGAAUUUCAGUUUUCUUAUGAGGAAUUUUCCAGAAAAGAUAUCUUCACUGUGAAAUAACUAAAUAAAUGCCCACUCAGUACAGUCACUGUCUCCCUUUUGGAACUUGAUGGCACCUUAAGCCCAGGUUUGCCUCCACUCUAGAAACUCAUCAGAGUGAUGCCCUUCUCAAAUGGGGGAGGUCCCAAAGCGGAUAUCCUGGCAGUGUGAAAGGCCGGCUAAAGACAAAAAUACCUGCUACAUGCUUCCUUCUGUAUGAAUACAUGAGACCUACCUUCAUUCAUGUUUCCUCUAUGAAGCUUUCCCUGCACUCCAAACACAGAGCUGAGACUUCCACCUAAUGUAGAAAGCUAGCACGAGCCGGCGCUGACAGAUGGAAGACUUGAGAUGUUACAAGAUUAUAUAUGGAAACACAAAAGGAGUGGAGUUGCUGGGUCAUAUGGCAAUUCAUUUGAGGAACUGAGAAGCUUAUUCCAUGGAGGCUGAACUGUUUUAUAUUCCCACCAGCAACGUAUUCUGUAUCCUCCAUAGUCCUAUUCAUGACAUGGGUCGUUCAUCUCUGUAUUCUAAACCCUCAAUGAACUGUAGACAGUAAUAAAUAUUUAUUGGAUGAAUGGUC